This 2182-nucleotide long non-coding RNA is filed under the name Homo sapiens (human). Its description in RNAcentral is "HSALNT0069998". Lineage: Eukaryota; Metazoa; Chordata; Mammalia; Primates; Hominidae. The record is from RNAcentral.
GCUGCCUCUGCUGAGUCAUGCAGGUUGUCAGGGAAGUGGGGGAAAGCGAGCAGUCGCAGGCUUCACCCAACUCCCACACAAUCUGAAGGGCUGGUCUCACUCCCAUUGUGCCACCCCCAACAGCACUGUCUAUUUCCAGGCAGUGGGUGAGCAGGGCUUAAGAACUUGUCCCAGGCUGCCCGCCUCCCAGCCGUGAGAUAAAAGGGCUCUGGUUCUUCCCCCACCUGUGGAGUCUGCAUGCUAGAUUUACACCCUCCCCUGAGUUCUGGCCAGGAGGCCUCUCACCUGGUUCAAAUUGUUACAACGUUCAGCUGGAGACCUCCUACUCCCUGUGGUUAUCUCCCCGCACCUCUGGCCACCCUCCCGAAAGGAUCCCUGUGGUGCCAGGCAGGAAUGGCCUGCCUGGGGACCCAGCAAGCUCCCAGGGCCCUUCCCACUGCCUCCUCCACCCCUGCAUUUCACUCAGCUCUCUAAGUUGACUCAGCUCCAGGUGAGGAUACAGUGAGAAGACAGCCGUCUGCAAUCAGGAAGGGGACUCUCACCAGACAACAAGUCUUCCAGCACCUUUAUCUUGGACUUCCAGCCUCCAGAAUUAUGACAAGUAUUCACCUUCAGUUUUCCAAGACGAUGGAAAGCACCACUGGUGCAUGUAGUUAACAGCAGCUUGACUCAGACACAGAACUGCAGCCAGGGCCCAUCUGUUCCCAUCACUCCUACUGCCAGUUUUACAACCAGAACUAGAGUGAUUUAUCCAUCUCAGUUUGCUCAGGACUCAGCAGAAGAGGAUCCUGGGACACAAGACUUUCAGUGCUCAAACUUGGAGAGUUCAAGACUUUCAGUGCUCAAACUUGGAGAGUCCUUGGCAAUCACAGUUUGACUAUGACUGAGAAGAUUCCCAGAAAGAAGGACUUUUAAUUCUAAAACUGAGAAAGUCCCAGGGCAUGAGUUGUUCACCUUAUUUGCAACCAACUUCUAAUUCAUCAUGAGGGCUUUGCAUAAACUUAUGCUUUAGGACUAGUAGAGUCAGUCAUUGCUUCAAAUUAAGUAGUGUGGCAAAAGUCUGUUAUUUUUCAGGAAAAAUUAAUGUCUGAUUGUGUUAAUCCUGGUUGCAAUAACUUAUCUCAUUUCCCCACUUUCCUGUGGAAAAAUUCCCAAUUUCUCAACCUGGCAUAUUAAGCAGCUGAAAAGUGGCCUAUGCCUUCAUCCCUGUCACUAUCUCCCUCCACUUGCCACCAUGCCCCAGUCUCUCUGAACUUUGUCAUUCUCCUUCAAGACUGGUGAUAUGGCUUGGCUGUGUCCCCACCCAAAUCUCAUCUUGAAUUGUAGCUCCCCUAAUCCACAAGUGUUGUGAGAGGGAUCCAGUGGGAGGUAAUUGAAUCAUGGGGAUGGGAUUUUCCUGUGCUGUUCUCGUGAUAGUGAAUAAGUCUCAUGAGAUCUGAUAGUUUUAUAAAGGGCAGUUCCCCUGCAUACACUGUCUUGCCUGCCACCAUGUAAGAUGUGCCUUUGCUCCUCCUUUGUCUUCUGCCAUGAUUGUGAGGCCUCCCCAGCCAUGUGGAACUGUGAGUCAUUAAACUUCCUUUCCUUUAUAAAUUACCCAGUCUUGGGUAUUUCUUCAUAGCUGUACAAAAACUGGAGACCUGAGAAAAUAGACAUUUUUUCAUCCCAGAUUCUUUCUUUCCCUGUCUCCCUUACUGCUUCCAUCCAUUCAGCAUAGUCAUGUAAGAAAACUCAAGCAUCACUGACUCUGAAUAACUGUUUUCAUCUUCCUCAAGAAGUUAUCUCCCUAUCCUUUAAGCUCAACUAAUGCUUUGUUUAUAUCUUUAAAAUAGAAUUGAUUACGUACUAUAUCAAAUACAUAUGCUUUAUACCUGUCUCCUUUACUAGACUAUUUCUCUAUUUAGUAGACUUACUUCUCAACAGUGAUAACUUAUUUUUCUUUUUAUCUCUAGUGCUUAAUCUCUUGCCUGGUGUACAAUAAAAUUUGUUGUAUGAACAUCUGAGUGGAUACAUUUUUAUACAUUUUAAACAGAUGGGAAAACUGAAGCUUAGAGUGGUUAAAUGAUUUCACCAAGAUCAAUAGCUAGGAAAUGACUGAAACGGGGCUUGAACCAAAGUCUUCCAAAUCUGACACCCAUGCAUUCAUCACCCCCUCAUUUGUAUACAUGGGUUACCAAUAACACAC